Aspergillus oryzae RIB40 is the source of this 137-nucleotide transfer RNA. It matches the Rfam family "tRNA". From Rfam's summary of the family: Transfer RNA (tRNA) molecules are approximately 80 nucleotides in length. Their secondary structure includes four short double-helical elements and three loops (D, anti-codon, and T loops). Further hydrogen bonds mediate the characteristic L-shaped molecular structure. tRNAs have two regions of fundamental functional importance: the anti-codon, which is responsible for specific mRNA codon recognition, and the 3' end, to which the tRNAs corresponding amino acid is attached (by aminoacyl-tRNA synthetases). tRNAs cope with the degeneracy of the genetic code in two manners: having more than one tRNA (with a specific anti-codon) for a particular amino acid; and 'wobble' base-pairing, i.e. permitting non-standard base-pairing at the 3rd anti-codon position. The record is from Rfam. NCBI's taxonomy places the organism in Eukaryota, Fungi, Ascomycota, Eurotiomycetes, Eurotiales, Aspergillaceae.
GCCUCUAUAGCUCAGUGGUAGAGCGCUUGACGUGAGUUGAAACCGCACAUUAUUCCUAGUAAAUCAUUAACUAACAAGUAAAAAAGUUGUAUACGAUAGAUAUCAAGAGGUCCGUGGUUCAAUCCCGCGUGGAGGCA